UCUUCGGAGGCACCUGCACAGGUGCUGCAUGGCUGUCGUCAGCUCGUGUCGUGAGAGUGUUCGGGUUAAGUCCCGGCAACCGAGCCGCAACCCUUAUCCCCAGUUGCCAUCAGGUAAAGCUGGGAACUCUGGGGAGACUGCCGGUGAUAAACCGGAGGAAGGCGGGGAUGACGUCAAGUCCUCAUGGCCCUUACAUCCCGGGCUACACACGUGCUACAAUGGCAGGUACAGAGGGCUGCAAAGCCGCGAGGUAGAGCGAAUCCCAGAAAACCUGUCUCAGUCCGGAUUGAAGUCUGCAACUCGACUUCAUGAAGGCGGAAUCGCUAGUAACCGCGAAUCAGCAGGUCGCGGUGAAUACGUUCCCGGGCCUU
RNAcentral lists this ribosomal RNA (371 nucleotides) under uncultured Latescibacterota bacterium. RNAcentral's name for it is "bacterial SSU rRNA". It matches the Rfam family "Bacterial small subunit ribosomal RNA", at positions 1017 to 1382 of the family's 1533-position model. The record is from RNAcentral. Lineage: Bacteria; Pseudomonadati; Candidatus Latescibacterota.